Non-coding RNA from Camellia sinensis, 265 nucleotides. The record is from RefSeq and is a predicted model, not a curated record. NCBI's taxonomy places the organism in Eukaryota, Viridiplantae, Streptophyta, Magnoliopsida, Ericales, Theaceae.
CAGAAGCUAGACCUGCUUCCUACAGAAGCUAGAAUAAGCGGCAAGGAAUACAAGGAGAGAGUUGUUAACAAUCUCAAGAUUUUAAUUGUGCAUUACUCGGUGCACCAGUCACAUUCUAAAGCAGUGAAGAGAGCCAUCAGUGAACAUUGUGGUGUAUGGACAAUCUCAAUGCUUAGUUACUUUUACUGUUUCCAGUGCAUUGGUAUAAGUUUGCUGAUCUGCUAUACUAAUCUGCUAUUCUUUUGGUGCUGUUGUGAUGUUGCUG